UACAGAGGUCUCAAGCGUUGUUCGGAUUCAUUGGGCGUAAAGGGUGCGUAGGUGGCAUGGUAAGUCGGAUGUGAAAUCCCGGGGCUCAACCCCGGAACUGCAUUCGAUACUGCUGCGCUAGAGUACUGGAGAGGAGAUUGGAAUUUACGGUGUAGCAGUGAAAUGCGUAGAUAUCGUAAGGAGGACCAGCGGCGAAGGCGGAUCUCUGGACAGUUACUGACACUGAGGCACGAAGGCCAGGGGAGCAAACGGG
RNAcentral lists this ribosomal RNA (253 nucleotides) under uncultured bacterium. RNAcentral describes it as "partial 16S ribosomal RNA". It matches the Rfam family "Bacterial small subunit ribosomal RNA", at positions 524 to 776 of the family's 1533-position model. The record is from RNAcentral.